Molecule: long non-coding RNA, 430 nt
Organism: Xenia sp. Carnegie-2017
Lineage: Eukaryota; Metazoa; Cnidaria; Anthozoa; Malacalcyonacea; Xeniidae
Exons: 2
Source: RefSeq, a predicted model, not a curated record
UGGUGGACGCUGGGAACAUGAUGGAUAUGGACGUAUAACAUAGCACAACUCAGACUGGGAGAGCCAGCAGAAGGGAACCUCACCGUAUUUGACCGGAAAUAAAUUAUUGUACGUAUGAGCUGUAAUUUUGUUGCUUUGCAAAAGGACAACAUGAAUAUUCAACACAUUGAAUUUGGGAGAUGGAUCGUGGAAUAUAAUUUCUUCAUUUUUAAAGUCAUAAAUCUUCUGGGCUAGAAAGUGACUUUAAUCUUCACGCAAGAGUAUUAUCUCUUUUUACUACUGGUAGCACGGACGUUGAACGAUUUAGGCAUGCCUGGGGAGUGGAGAAUAAAUCUUUUCAGCCGACCUAGAAGUCGAAAGCUUAACGGAGCGUGAAUUUUGUUCAUUUUUGUCAUACAAAAAUAGGAAUGUGGAAAGAUUCAAAACAAAA